AUACGUAGGGAGCGAGCGUUGUCCGGAUUUACUGGGUGUAAAGGGUGCGUAGGCGGCGCCACAAGUCAGGUGUGAAAACUAUCGGCUUAACUGAUAGACUGCAUUUGAAACUGUGGCGCUUGAGUGGAGCAGAGGCAGGCGGAAUUCCCGGUGUAGCGGUGAAAUGCGUAGAGAUCGGGAGGAACACCAGUGGCGAAAGCGGCCUGCUGGGCUUUAACUGACGCUGAGGCACGAAAGCAUGGGUAGCAAACAGGAUUAGAUACCCUGGUAGUCCAUGCCGUAAACGAUGAUUACUAGGUGUGGGGGGUCUGACCCCCUCCGUGCCGGAGUUAACACAAUAAGUAAUCCACCUGGGGAGUACGACCGCAAGGUUGAA
Molecule: ribosomal RNA, 376 nt
Filed under: uncultured bacterium
Lineage: Bacteria
Description: bacterial SSU rRNA
Rfam family: Bacterial small subunit ribosomal RNA
Source: RNAcentral